Molecule: unclassified non-coding RNA, 332 nt
Filed under: soil metagenome
Description: partial contains 5.8S ribosomal RNA, internal transcribed spacer 2, and large subunit ribosomal RNA
Rfam family: 5.8S ribosomal RNA (bases 1-120)
Source: RNAcentral
GAUGAAGAACGUAGCGAAAUGCGAUAAGUAGUGUGAAUUGCAGAAUUCAGUGAAUCAUCGAAUCUUUGAACGCACAUUGCGCCCUUUGGUAUUCCUUAGGGCAUGCCUGUUCGAGCGUCAUUUAAACCUUCAAGCUCAGCUUGGUGUUGGGUGACUGUCCGCUUCACCGCGGACUCGCCUCAAAAUUAUUGGCGGCCGGUACAUUGGCUUCGAGCGCAGCAGAAACGCGAACUCGGGCCCGUCGUAUUGGCUCCCAGAAGCUAUCUUCACAAUUUUGACCUCGGAUCAGGUAGGGAUACCCGCUGAGCUUAAGCAUAUCAAUAAGCGGAGGA